UGGGGAAUAUUGUACAAUGGGCGCAAGCCUGAUCCAGCCAUGCCGCGUGUGUGAAGAAGGCCUUUUGGUUGUAAAGCACUUUAAGCGAGGAGGAGGCUACUUGGAUUAAUACUCUAAGAUAGUGGACGUUACUCGCAGAAUAAGCACCGGCUAACUCUGUGCCAGCAGCCGCGGUAAUACAGAGGGUGCGAGCGUUAAUCGGAUUUACUGGGCGUAAAGCGUGCGUAGGCGGCUUCUUAAGUCGGAUGUGAAAUCCCUGAGCUUAACUUAGGAAUUGCAUUCGAUACUGGGAAGCUAGAGUAUGGGAGAGGAUGGUAGAAUUCCAGGUGUAGCGGUGAAAUGCGUAGAGAUCUGGAGGAAUAACGAUGGCGAAGGCAGCCAUCUGGCCUAAUACUGACGCUGAGGUACGAAAGCAUGGGGAACAAACAGG
RNAcentral lists this ribosomal RNA (430 nucleotides) under Bacillota bacterium. RNAcentral describes it as "Firmicutes bacterium partial 16S ribosomal RNA". It matches the Rfam family "Bacterial small subunit ribosomal RNA", at positions 355 to 776 of the family's 1533-position model. The record is from RNAcentral. Lineage: Bacteria; Bacillati; Bacillota.